This 267-nucleotide unclassified non-coding RNA is filed under the name fungal sp. RNAcentral describes it as "partial internal transcribed spacer region". The stretch from base 1 to 46 matches the Rfam family "Eukaryotic small subunit ribosomal RNA", at positions 1786 to 1831 of the family's 1831-position model. The record is from RNAcentral. Lineage: Eukaryota; Fungi.
AAGUCGUAACAAGGUUUCCGUAGGUGAACCUGCGGAAGGAUCAUUAAAUUCAGUAGCUUGCUACUGUUAGGGGGGUCCGUCAGUCUGUAUAGUAUCACUACUGAUGAGCAGCACGACCCUCUGUCUAUACCCUUGUCUUUUGCGCACUCAUGUUUCCUCGGCGGCUUCAUACCCGCCGGCUGGAUCAAUCUAUAACCUUUUUAAUUUUCAAUCAGCGUCUGAAAAACCUAAUAAUUACAACUUUCAACAACGGAUCUCUUGGUUCUG